RNAcentral lists this long non-coding RNA (727 nucleotides) under Fukomys damarensis (Damara mole-rat). RNAcentral's name for it is "lncRNA (ENSFDAG00000031606.1)". Lineage: Eukaryota; Metazoa; Chordata; Mammalia; Rodentia; Bathyergidae. The record is from RNAcentral.
AGGUACUUAUGGGUCCAGAAGUCACACAGCCCACGGCCGGCUCCCCGGGUGGCUUUCUAGCAGGACUGUUCGCUGAUGGUUUCAACAAAGGACAGAGCCAGACAAACAGGAAGUUGGAGAACAGAGAAAGAGGAAGAGGCCUCCUCCAUGCGUCAAAGUUUUACCAACUAACUCUACUGUGCCAGAUUUGAUCACAGAAGCAGUCAAGGCCCGGCCUCUAGGGCAAAGGAGCAGGGCAGACCCCUGCCCACUGUGCUCAGUCACCCUCAGACGCGCCCCACCCGGGAACACGCCUUCAGCGCGUCGUGGGACCCUGCGAUACCUGUCACUCACCGCAGUCCGCAGUGACAAAGGUGCCACCGGGGCCUGCCCUCCUCGCGCCUCUUCUCCCACCCCCGCCCCCCCAGAGUCCCCUGACAUGGAGGCAAAGACUGAGUUCACUGUCACCAGGAGACUUGGCAGCCACUCCACUCCUGGGCCUCAGUGAGGGUGAGACCAGGGUCUGGGACCACCCUGGGAGGGAGCCACAAAGCUUGUGAGCCACUCGGAGACAGCAGAGAAGGGAUAAGACACUGACAGGUUGAAUUUCCCCACACUGCACCAGGACGGAGCCUAUUUUCUCAGCCACCCAAGUGCGGUUUUAAAUGGAAAACACACGGCGUGGGGCAGAAGCCUGUGUAGACGGGGCGCCUCCCGCCCGAGAGCUUGCUCUCGACAGAGGCAAACA